This is a non-coding RNA of Vicia faba (fava bean), 231 nucleotides long. NCBI's taxonomy places the organism in Eukaryota, Viridiplantae, Streptophyta, Magnoliopsida, Fabales, Fabaceae. The record is from the annotation of a GenBank genome assembly.
UUUAUCUCUCUAUACUACCAACCAUCUUUCUCUCUUGUUAUCAAAUGUCAUCAUCAUUGUUUAUUAUUAUCUCACAAAGUAGAAAGAACAAAAACCAGAGAGAAGGGCAGUCGGAGAAAGAAAACAGGGGAGGUGGAGAAAGGCGGACUCGCGGUGGUCGGCGAUGGAGUCGCGGCGGCGCCACCGCGAGGAAACUCUGAAAAAAUUAUUUUUUUUUUUUUUUUUUUUUUU